RNAcentral lists this long non-coding RNA (3704 nucleotides) under Panax ginseng (ginseng). RNAcentral describes it as "long non-coding RNA (PGIN_LNC011656)". Lineage: Eukaryota; Viridiplantae; Streptophyta; Magnoliopsida; Apiales; Araliaceae. The record is from RNAcentral.
AAAUGGUAAUGGUUGACUAAAGGCCAGACAGAGACAGAAAAGUAAAGCGCGUGAAGGAGUGAAGGAGAGAGAAGAUUCAGGCGCGAAGAGCUUCUCUUGCCGGCAAAUCUUGGUCUUUGAUGCGAAUAUUGGUCUUGGAUACGAAUCUACUAGUGCGAAUCUUCUGUGAGGUAUGCUAGAUUUCUUUAAUUUAGGAUUUGUGCACAUGGAUCGGUUGGGAAUGGGUACGAUUAAAUUAGGGGUUUCUAAUCUGUUGUAGCCAUUUGUUUUGUCUUGAUGUUUUCUCCAUCUUUUUGGACUUUAUAUACCCGACACGUGGUCCAUGAGAUUUUAUUUUUGCCAUUGUUGUCUUCUUCGGCCCCCCAUGUGCUGUAAAUAAUAAUUAUUUAUUUAUUUUUGUAUUGUUUUCGUUUCACAGAAUGAGUGGGAUUUGUCAAUUGCAUGUUCACUAUGGGGGCAAAUUUGUGAAUCAGCCUAAAACUGAGUACAAGGGAGGUAAGGUUGAAAUUUAUCCCCGUGUUGAUGUUGAUUUCAUCUGCAUGAUUGCAAUUAAGUCAUUUGUUAAAGCUUUAGAUUAUGAUAGCAAUGCUAAGGUUUAUUUUAAGAAUAAUGGUCAAACUAGUGAAAGUGGUUAUAGAUUGGUGCAUGAUGAUGACAGUAUUAAAGACAUGAUAAAAGUGUCGCCCUUUUGGUGUGAUUGAAUUUUUUGUUGAUCAUGUAUUUGUGAAUGAGGGAGGAGUUGUGAUUGAACCACCUGAUGUGAAUGAACAAGUUGCAAAAUCUAUUACUCAACCCCCCAAUACAGAAGAUAAGAACAAGGGGAGUACUAGUGCAAAGAGGACUAAGCAAAGGGCAUGUUUGAAGAAACAGGCUAUGAAUAAUCAGAGGAGGAAGAGUAAUAGAAUUAAAAUGAAUCAGAAAUCAAAUAAAAAAAGUGAUGAUACACCAAUUGUGAUUGGGGACUCGGAUAGUAAUGAUGCACAAAGUAAUGGUGAAAUAUUAAGUAGUGAUGAAGAAUUAUUAGAGGCUAGGAGGAGUUGCAAGAAGUACAAAGCAGAUAUGGCUAGAGUUAAAACAGAGGCAGGUGAUGAAACAAACUUUGUUGAUGGGGAUGUAGGUGAUGGUAAUACUAAUGGUGUUGAGGGUGAUGUAGCUGAGGGUGAUGUUGACGGGGUAGGUCAAGGUGAGGAGGCUGAAGAAACUGGGAAUGAGGGAGAUGAUGAAGGGGCAGAAGUUGGUGAGGCUGAGGGUGAUAAAGCUGCAGAAGGUGUUGAGGCUGAGGGUGAUAGAAGUAGUGAGGGAGAUAAUCUCAAUGACUCUGAUGAUGAUAGUGAUUGGCACAGUGAGUAUGAGGACAGUGAUGUAUUAAGGUCCCUCUCAGAAAGCAGUGAAGAUGAGAACCUUUGUUUUGUGGGUCCCCUUGUAAAAAAGAAAAAGGCAGAACGAUGUGAUAUUUUUAACCCAAAAACAAAGAGAAAACACAUAAAGUUUGCACACUAUCAGAUUUUUACCAAUUUCAAGGAAUUCAAGACUGCCAUCAGAGACUAUUCAAUUGCUAAUGACAGGAAGUUGUGGUACAAGGUAAACAACAAGGAAAUGGUGCAGGUUAAGUGUGAUAAGGGUUAUCCUUGGAAACUGUGGGCCAGUUAUAUUCAAGGGACUGAGAAUGUGCAAAUAAAGUCAAUACUGGACACACAUAAUUGUGUGUACAGUUUUAAAAAUAAGUUGGCAAACACAAAAUUUUUGGCAAAGUUUUAUGGAAAGAUGAUAAGGAAAAAUUCAAACUGGAGGUUGAAGGACAUGCAAGAAGAGAUAAAAAUUAAUUUGAAAUUGGAUGUAACACUUGUGAAGUGUAUGAGGGUAAGAAAUUUAGCUUUGACAAGUAUACAUGCAGUUAUGAAGGAACAUUAUUCAAGGGUUUGAGAUUUUGGGGCAGAGAUUAUGAGAAGUAACAAAAUGAAUACAGUCAACAUCAAAACCACUAGGCUUAAUCCUGAAGAUGAGGUCAGGUUCAAGAGAUUUUAUGUUUGCUAUGACAGCUUAAAGAAAGCUUGGAGAGAGGGUUGUAGGCCAAUUCUUGAAUUGGAUGGUUGUUUCUUAAAAACUGUAUGUAGGGGUCAAUUAUUAUCUGUUGUGGGAAGGGAUGAGAACAAUCAAAUGUUCCCUCUAGUUAUGGCUGUUGUAGAGACUAAAAAUGGUGACAGUUGGAGAUGGUUUUGGAGUUAUUGACUGAUGACCUUUGUCUUGGUGAAGGCUACGGAUUUAGUAUAAUCAGUGACCAACAAAAGGUAUAUGUACUAUAAAUGUCUCUGUUUUACUAAAUGCCUCUAUUUUACUAAUUGCAUAUGUUUUACUAACUGAGUUUGUGUUGUACAGGGUUUGAAGAAUGCCAUAUGUGAACUGCUUCCUCAUGUUGAGCAUAGAAAUUGUGCUAGACACAUUAAUGCUAACUGGAGGAAAAUGUUCACUUCACAGGCACUGAAGAGAUUGUUUUGGGAAGCUGCAUGUGCAACUCAUGAUCAAGCACAUAAGAGAGCAAUGAGUGAGAUUAAAAGGCUUUCUGGCCCUGCAUAUGAUAAGAUUGUGGAGCAUGACCCAAAGGUUUGGUCUAACGCUUAUUUUGGCACUCAUUCAAAGGCUAAUAAUGUUGAGAAUAACAUGUCAGAAUGCUUCAAUGCUUGGAUUAUCAAAGCUAGGUACAUUUUUACUAACUUACUACAAAUUGUAUUAUUGUAUUGUAUCAAUAUUGUUACAAGUCAAAUGCAUUGUUACACUUACUCUUAUAUCAAUAUUGUCUAGGUACAUGCCAGUUCUAACAAUGUUUCAGAAAAUUCAUGAUCAAAUCAUGGUUAGAUUGCAUCAGAAAAGAGAUGCUAUGCUUAAGUCAGAGGAUUUAAUUUGUCUAAAAAUUAAGAAGAAACUUGAUGCAACCAUCAUUGCCUCUGCUCAUUGUGAUCCACUUUGGGAUGAAAAAAUCUCAUUCCAAGUCAAGGAAAGAGGUAGAGCAUUUACUGUGAAUCUUAAUGAUAGAACUUGUGCUUGUAGAGUGUGGGACCUUACUGGCAUCCCAUGUUGUCAUGCUGUCUCAGCAAUUCAGUCAAUUUAUCAAAAUUCAGUAGACUAUGUAGCUCACUGGUAUAGUAGAGAUAUUUACCUCAAGACUUAUAGUCAUACUCAAGAGGUGUUAAAUGGUAAAGAUUUCUGAGAAUUCAUAGACUGUGACAUUAUGGGGCCUCCACCAAUACCAAAGAAACUGAGAGGCAGAUCACAGAGGCUGAGAAGGAGAGAAGGUUGGGAAGACAAAGGAAAUAAUGGUCAAGUGAAGAGGGUGAGUAGAGUAGGAAGGAAAAUGCAUUGUAGCAUUUGUAGAAAGUCUGAUCAUAGAAGGAACCAAUGUCCAGUUAAAGAGACCAAUGCAGAGCCCACAAGAGAUCAAGUUGAAGAGCUAACUAAUAUAUUUAAUCAAGAACCCACUGCACAUCCUAAUGCUUUGUCUGGUAUAGUAAUUAGAGAGGGAGACCAAUUCAACAAAACAAAGGAACCAACACCUAAUGUAAGUUUUCAUUUAGCAUGUUCAUUAUAUUUACUGAGAAUGAUAAAGGCUAACUAUGAGAUAUAUGUUACAGUACACAUAUAAAGGUAAAGAAAAGGUGGGAUACUCUAAUGAAAAAGGGAAAGAUAGACCCCCACAAGCAUUUAUGUUU